Long non-coding RNA from Chenopodium quinoa (quinoa), 1656 nucleotides. RefSeq lists it as uncharacterized. The transcript has 8 exons. NCBI's taxonomy places the organism in Eukaryota, Viridiplantae, Streptophyta, Magnoliopsida, Caryophyllales, Amaranthaceae. The record is from RefSeq and is a predicted model, not a curated record.
UUUCCCCCCGUUUUUUCCAUCUUCUGUUUUCACUCUAGUUUUCGCCCUCUCUUCCACGCACCAUCCCGAAUUUCACCUUCUCCAUUGAAGGGUUUACGAGCUUUCUCACUCCAUUGAAGCAUCACCUCCUUCUCUCUCCAUAUCCCUGGCCUCCAUUGAACUCGUGCUCUAUAUUCUCCAUUGAAGCCGAUUCUAAGCUUUCUCACCUCCAUUGAAGCAGCUUCGAGGUAAGGGUUCUGGUUUUAAUAAGUAGGAGAAGGAGAGAGUAGGUCCUACCCGCCGCCACUCACCCUUCGCCGGCCACCGUCCGUUCCUCUCAGCCGUCCUUCGUGCAUCGGCCACCGGCCACCAGCUAGCUAAGAUAAUGAGUGCACCAGAAGGAAAUCGGUCUAUGGUGAUGGUGAUAUCAAUUUCUCAGCUGCCAACGAACGUAUGUAAGGUGGUGCCUUUUAGCCUGUUUUCAUUAUUGCUAAUAUUGCUGCACUGAUUGCUAGUCGAGAUAUGACUACUGCUACAUUUUCAUGUAUAAAGUAAUUGACUGCACUUGGCUAUGUUGUGAUAUAAUAUUUCUGUUGUACUAUCACUGCUGUAUACUUGUUGCUGUUGUAUGCUUAAGGAAGCUAGACUCUUUUCCUUUUCCCUUUUGCCUUCCUCAUUUUGGUAUUAGCUGAGCUUACCGUGUCCAAAAGUUUGGCCAUUGUCUCGAGGGAUCCAAGUGGAAAGGAAAUGAGGCGGUUUUCAUCUUGUGAAUGAGAUUUAAAUUUGUCUAAGCUUGAGUUUUAUCAGAACUUUCUGUUCAUACAAAAUUGGUUAAGCAUCUUGGGUGCUAAAAUUUUUCUGCUUUCAAUUAUUAUCAAUCUUUUGGCCAAUUUGGCAAUAACUGCUUCCAUACGGCUUCGGUUUUGGGCUAAUUUAGUGGUGGAAUAUGCAAUGGUUACAGCUAUGCGACUGCAGUUUAUGGCAGCAGAAAGACGACUUCCUGAUCAAUUUACGGAUGGAAUAUUUGUGUAACGGUGAUUCAUUGUCCUUGUACGAAAUAUUCCCCCAGAUGCUGAUGAAUUAAUUAGUGAGCUUGUGGAGCACUUUUUCUGGUCAAUCACCCUGAUCAUUAUCUCACGCAUCAGGUGGUUCAUAAUGCAAAUAAGCUGUCAUAUUUAGUUGAGGAAAAAGAAGCAAAAUUGGCUGGAUUACUACGAACUAAAGUUUUUUAGAAAGUCGGAUCAACGGCCCAUGACGAAGUUUGGAUUUCUUGGCCUCUUUGAACAAAAAGUUGAUGCCAUAGAUUAAAAUGCUGCUGAAAUUGAGAGACUACAUAAAGAAGUUGAUUCUCUAUUGUGAAUUACUCCCAGAAAGCUGAACCAAGGCAGCAGCCCCAAGUAGCAUCCAGCAGCAACAAAAGGACAGCAGCCAAGCUGCAGUACCAACACAGACCAGCAAGAAAGGGAGCAUGCUGUAGCAGCCUGAGAAACUAGCAGCAGCAGGAAACUAGCGUAGCAGUAGCACCCCACCAGCAGACCCAUAAUCAAUUGCGACACAGUAGGAAGCACCAACAAGGAGCAAAAUGCACCAGCCAGUACUGCAAAACAGGCAGCAUAUAGAUAUCAGAACCUUUAUUUUUUUUAUUUUAAGUUUUUUAAAGUGUAAUAUUACUAGUUA